AUUGAACGCUGGCGGCAUGCCUUACACAUGCAAGUCGAACGGCAGCACGGGAGCAAUCCUGGUGGCGCGUGGCGAACGGGUGAGUAAAGUAUCGGAACGUGCCCGGUCGUGGGGGAUAACGUAGCGAAAGUUACGCUAAUACCGCAUACGAUCUAUGGAUGGAAGCGGGGGAUCGCAAGACCUCGCGCGAUUGGAGCGGCCGAUAUCAGAUUAGGUAGUUGGUGGGGUAAAGGCUCACCAAGCCGACGAUCUGUAGCUGGUCUGAGAGGACGACCAGCCACACUGGGACUGAGACACGGCCCAGACUCCUACGGGAGGCAGCAGUGGGGAAUUUUGGACAAUGGGCGCAAGCCUGAUCCAGCCAUGCCGCGUGCAGGAUGAAGGCCUUCGGGUUGUAAACUGCUUUUGUACGGAACGAAAAGGUUUGGCCUAAUAAGCUGAGCUCAUGACGGUACCGUAAGAAUAAGCACCGGCUAACUACGUGCCAGCCGCCGCCGUAA
Molecule: ribosomal RNA, 500 nt
Filed under: uncultured bacterium
Lineage: Bacteria
Description: partial 16S ribosomal RNA
Rfam family: Bacterial small subunit ribosomal RNA
Source: RNAcentral